RNAcentral lists this ribosomal RNA (2030 nucleotides) under human gut metagenome. RNAcentral's name for it is "bacterial LSU rRNA". It matches the Rfam family "Bacterial large subunit ribosomal RNA", at positions 128 to 1997 of the family's 2925-position model. The record is from RNAcentral.
CUAACCUGGGUUGUGCUGGGUUACCAUCAUCUGAACGUGUAUAGGGUGGUGGGGGGAACGCGGGGAAGUGAAACAUCUCAGUACCCGCAGGAAGAGAAAAUAAAGUAAUGAUUCUGUGAGUAGUGGCGAGCGAAAGCGGAAGAGACUAAACCUGUGGUGUGUGAUAGCGGUUAGGCGUUGCAUCAUGGGGGUUGUGGGAGUCACAGUGGCAGUUCUAACUGGCUGCCGGCAUGAUGUUCAGGAUGGUAGGUGAACGACUUGGAAUGGUCGGCCGUAGAGGGUGAGAGUCCCGUAAUCGAAAUUGUUCUGUCCGUGGUGUGGCCACCCGAGUAGCACGGGGCUCGUGGAAUCUCGUGUGAAUCUGCCAGGACCACCUGGUAAGUCUAAAUACUUCUUAGUGACCGAUAGUGAAUCAGUACCGUGAGGGAAUGGUGAAAAGUACCCCGGGAGGGGAGUGAAAUAGUACCUGAAACCGUGUGCUUACAAGCCGUUGGAGCCUUUUGGGGUGACAGCGUGCCUUUUGAAGAAUGAGCCUGCGAGUUAGUGUUAUGUCGCGAGGUUAACCCGUGUGGGGUAUCCGUAGCGAAAGCGAGUCUGAAUAGGGCGUUUGAGUGGCAUGACCUAGACCCGAAGCGGAGUGAUCUAUCCAUGGCCAGGUUGAAGCGACGGUAAGACGUCGUGGAGGACCGAACCCACUUCAGUUGAAAAUGGAGGGGAUGAGCUGUGGAUAGGGGUGAAAGGCCAAUCAAACUCUGUGAUAGCUGGUUCUCCCCGAAAUGCAUUUAGGUGCAGCGUUACGUGUUUCUUGCCGGAGGUAGAGCUACUGGAUGGCCGAUGGGCCUUCACGGGUUACUGACGUCAGCUAAACUCCGAAUGCCGGUAAGUGAGAGCGUAGCAGUGAGACAGUGGGGGAUAAGCUUCAUUGUCGAGAGGGAAACAGCCCAGACCACCAACUAAGGCCCCUAAGCGUGUGCUAAGUGGGAAAGGAUGUGGAGUUGCUUAGACAACCAGGAGGUUGGCUUAGAAGCAGCCAUCCUUGAAAGAGUGCGUAACAGCUCACUGGUCAAGUGAUUCUGCGCCGAUAAUGUAGCGGGGCUCAAGUACACCGCCGAAGUUGUGGCAAUGAUCUUUUUGGAUUGUUGGGUAGGGGAGCGUCGUGUGGCCGUUGAAGCUGCGGUGUAAACCAGUGGUGGAGGCUAUGCGAGUGAGAAUGCAGGCAUGAGUAGCGAAAGAUGAGUGAGAAACUCAUCCGCCGGAUGAUCAAGGGUUCCAGGGUCAAGUUAAUCUGCCCUGGGUUAGUCGGGGCCUAAGGCGAGGCCGACAGGCGUAGUCGAUGGAUAACGGGUUGAUAUUCCCGUACCGGUGAAAAACCGCCCAUACUGAUAUUGUGAUGCUAACCAUGCGAAGCAUGAUGUGCAGGCUUUUGUUUGUGUGUUGUGUGGGUUGUGGGACCCGAUCUUUGGAGGUAAACGUGUUAACAGGUGUGACGCAGGAAGGUAGCCAAGCCACGCGAUGGUUGUCGUGGUCUAAGCGUGUAGGGUUGUCGGUUGUUAAAUGCGCCGGCUGUGUGCCUGAGACGUGAUGGGACCCCGUUUUUGGGGGAUUUGGUGAUCCUAUGCUGCCGAGAAAAGCAUCGGCGUGAGGUUUUAGCCGCCCGUACCCUAAACCGACACAGGUGAUCAGGUAGAGAAUACUAAGGCGAUCGAGAGAAUCAUGGUUAAGGAACUCGGCAAAAUGCCCCCGUAACUUCGGGAGAAGGGGGACCUUGAGCGUGAUGGGCACUUGCUGCCUGGAGCGUGUAUGGGUCGCAGAGACCAGGGGGAAGCGACUGUUUAUCAAAAACACAGGUCCGUGCGAAGUCGUAAGACGAUGUAUACGGACUGACUCCUGCCCGGUGCUGGAAGGUUAAGAGGAUUGGUUAGCUCUUUUGGGCGAAGCUGAGAAUUUAAGCCCCAGUAAACGGCGGUGGUAACUAUAACCAUCCUAAGGUAGCGAAAUUCCUUGUCGGGUAAGUUCCGACCUGCACGAAU